RNAcentral lists this ribosomal RNA (244 nucleotides) under uncultured bacterium. RNAcentral's name for it is "partial 16S ribosomal RNA". It matches the Rfam family "Bacterial small subunit ribosomal RNA", at positions 528 to 772 of the family's 1533-position model. The record is from RNAcentral.
UAGGGAGCGAGCGUUAUCCGGAUUUAUUGGGUGUAAAGCGUGUGUAGGCGGUAAAUUAAGUCUAAGGUUUAAGCCCGGAGCUCAACUCCGGUUCGCCUUAGAAACUGAUUUUCUUGAGUAUGGUAGAGGCAAGUGGAAUUUCUAGUGUAGCGGUAAAAUGCGUAGAUAUUAGAAGGAACACCAGUGGCGAAGGCGACUUGCUGGGCCAAAACUGACGCUGAGACACGAAAGCGUGGGGAGCAAA